Molecule: non-coding RNA, 1012 nt
Organism: Esox lucius (northern pike)
Lineage: Eukaryota; Metazoa; Chordata; Actinopteri; Esociformes; Esocidae
Source: the annotation of a RefSeq genome assembly
GAGUUUAACACUUUAUGACUGAGAUCUGUCCUUCAUGAGAACUGAACCCACAACAACCAUGACUUUUAUAACCAUCUUCAUCUGGACACUUGUCCUCUUUUUCAAAGAAUCCAGAGGACAGUACAUUGUGACUCAGUCACCUGCAGUUCAAUCUGUUACAACAGGAAAUUCAGUUACUAUAAACUGUAAAGUCAGCAGUAAUGUGUAUGGCAACAAUUAUCUACACUGGUACCAAGAGAAACCUGGAGGAGCUCCUAAACUCCUAAUUUACUUGGCUAACACACUUCAGUCUGGGAUUCCAUCUAGAUUCAGUGGCAGUGGAUCUGGGAGUGACUUCACUCUGACCAUCAGUGGAGUCCAGGCUGAAGAUGCAGGAGAUUACUACUGUCAGAGUUUUCACUAUCCCAACAGUGUACAUGUGGCCACUUUUGGUGGCGGCACCAGACUUGAUGUUGGAAGUAACACUGCUCCCACCCUGACCAUCCUGCCCCCCUCUAGUGAGGAACUGUCCAGUACAACAACAGCCACACUGAUGUGUCUGGCCAACAAGGGCUUCCCCUCAGACUGGACCUUGAGUUGGAAAGUGGACAGGAACAACAAGAAUCAGAAGUCCAGUUCCGUGGUCCUGGAGAAGGAUGGUCUAUACAGCUGGAGCAGCACCCUGACUCUCACUGCCCAGGAGUGGAACAAGGUGGGAGAGGUGACCUGUGAAGCCCAGAAAAGCUCCCAGACUCCAGUCAUCAAGACCUUGAGGAGGGGUGACUGUUCUGGUUAGGACCUGUCUGUCACAUAACCCAGUGAAGAGGUUCUUUUGCUUUUACUCUGUUUUGACAUCUAAUGUUUUGUCUUAUUGAUCACUUUCAUGUAGACUAACAGUGAGCUUUGCAUGAGUUCAUGUGUCCAUCCUCUCUGUAGAUGGACAUUUGAUAGAUAUGAUAUGGUCUGCUCAUACUAUUAUAACACACAUUUGCUUUAUGCAUUGAUGAAAAUAAAGAUUUCCCUUUGUAGAAAA